Molecule: long non-coding RNA, 270 nt
Filed under: Ananas comosus (pineapple)
Lineage: Eukaryota; Viridiplantae; Streptophyta; Magnoliopsida; Poales; Bromeliaceae
Description: long non-coding RNA (ACOM_LNC030943)
Source: RNAcentral
UUAUUAGUUCCCAAAAUAAAUUAUUAUAUACUCAAUAGCACCAAGCUAUUGGUGCUAUUAGUUUUUUAGUUAUUGGAUUGAAAAAUGUGCGGUUAGAAUGAUGUGGGUCCUCUAGGAUUGAGUGAGUGGUUGGUUGAAUAGUAUAAUCUAACGGAUAAAAAAAAUCAAAGAAUUAAAUUUAACGGUGGAAAACUCGAUAGCAUCAAACCCUUGUUGCUAUCGAUAGUAUCCCAGCCAGACUCUCAGCCAGCGGUCCAGGAUGUUAAGCCC